Molecule: non-coding RNA, 99 nt
Organism: Acanthosepion pharaonis
Lineage: Eukaryota; Metazoa; Mollusca; Cephalopoda; Sepiida; Sepiidae
Source: the annotation of a GenBank genome assembly
GUUCAAACACCGGUUCCCGUACGAUCACCGAACUUAAGCAAAGUCAAGCCUGGUCAGUACUCAAAUGGGUGACCAAUUUUGGAAUAUCAGGUGCAGUAA